AGCAUACUCUACUCCGUAGGAAAUUCCAUUCAACACGGUCAUAUGCUUUGUGCAUAUCCAGCUUCUCUACACAAUAACACCAUUUACCUUUCUUCUUGUUGUUUUUUCCUGAUCGUAUGCAAAUGUGUGCCAGUACUGCUAUUUGCCGCAAAGAGAGAGAGAGGGUGAAAGAGAGAGCAUCGCCAAACCCCAAACAAACCCCCAAAGUGCCAAAUCCACGCACAAAGGUAAAGAAAGGACCACACGAUCACAGGAUACGCAACCGGACCCGAUUGACCCGUUCCAUCCAAACCC
RNAcentral lists this long non-coding RNA (294 nucleotides) under Hordeum vulgare. RNAcentral's name for it is "long non-coding RNA (HVUL_LNC006511)". Lineage: Eukaryota; Viridiplantae; Streptophyta; Magnoliopsida; Poales; Poaceae. The record is from RNAcentral.